Molecule: long non-coding RNA, 1269 nt
Filed under: Capra hircus (goat)
Lineage: Eukaryota; Metazoa; Chordata; Mammalia; Artiodactyla; Bovidae
Description: lncRNA (ENSCHIG00010014898.1)
Source: RNAcentral
AUGACGGCCCAGCUCCAUCGGCCCAGACGCCCCACGGCACAGGCCCAGGAGCCGAGCCAGAGCUGCCGAGUCAGAGGCCCGGGAAACCAAGAAAUCAAGCCACCACCCAAAGAGGGCGCAUCUGCAACUCCUGAGCCGACGGGAGACAGCCCGUCCAGCACUUUUCAGCCGGAACAAGGCGCCCAGCAGACACGGCAUCGCGGUCACCGAGCCCCCGGCCACGGCAGGGCAGCUCCGACCCCCUCACUCACUGGGUGUUCAGUCCAGCGUCCACUUCAGGAUAAGGAGCCUGUCUUUAAGCAGACACGAGGCAUGUCCACACACACCGGCCUCACGGUGGGCACGACAGCGCACGCUCCAACCCAGUGCUGCAUCUGCUCCCACAAAGCAGGAGGAAACAAAACCUCCUUUAACCCACAGGGCAGGGGCGCCCCGUCAGGGAGGACACGGACAGGCCGGAGCACCAUCCCUGCGUCUCCCAAAGCCCCGAGCUCCUCCUCUCAGGCCCGAGGGGGCCCUGAAGCCUUGGCCAUCUCCUCUCUGGGGCAGGCAUCGCCACUGCACGAGUCGGACCCUGAAGGCCGUCUGUUUCUGUCCAACAGCGGGUCUCAUGCAGGACUGCAGGCCCGCCCACGACCCAGCACCCCUGCCUCCAGGUCGCAGGGCCGCCUCGUCCAGAUGGCCCAUGAGGCAAGGUGGCCCUUACCUUCAGCUCAGGGCCCGCCGGUGAGCUGGCCCAUCUGUGGAGCCCAGGUGGGUGGAUUCCUCCCCGUAGGGGUCGUGGGCAUCACCUCCUCAUUCCAGGACACACAGGCAGACAGGCGUCCAGGCAGGACACAGGGUCUCCGGCAGCUCCCGCUGUGCGGAGACAGAGCGAGCGCACGUAAGAAGGACGUGGGGACAUUCGGAAGACCCUGCUGGCCAGGCACACGGAAGCCUCCGCCCUGGGCGUGCCUGCACGUGGAUCACGGAAGAGAAAGGCUGGGGCUUCCGGUACUCGAGGAGGGCAGAGGCAGGGCCGACCCAGAAGCAGAGACGACAGAACUCCCAAGUUCAGACCGGCUGGGCCUCUGGUCGCUACUGGGGCUCCAGCCCACGCCACCGUGCGGUGGCCCAGACGCUGGGCUGCUGCUUGCUGCUGCUAAGUCACUUCAGUCGUGUCCGACUCUGUGUGACCCNNNNNNNNNNNNNNNNNNNNNNNNNNNNNNNNNNNNNNNNNNNNNNNCAAGAACACUGGAGUGGGUUGCCAUUUCCUUCUCCAAUGCAUGA